UACGUAGGGGGCAAGCGUUGUCCGGAUUUAUUGGGCUUAAAGCGCGUGUAGGCGGCCAGAUAGGUCUGCUGUGAAAACUCGAGGCUCAACCUCGAGCUGUCGGCGGAAACCAUCUGGCUAGAGUCCGGAAGAGGAGAGUGGAAUUCCUGGUGUAGCGGUGAAAUGCGCAGAUAUCAGGAAGAACACCUAUGGCGAAGGCAGCUCUCUGGGACGGUACUGACGCUGAGACGCGAAAGCGUGGGGAGCGAACAGG
This 253-nucleotide ribosomal RNA is filed under the name uncultured bacterium. RNAcentral's name for it is "partial 16S ribosomal RNA". It matches the Rfam family "Bacterial small subunit ribosomal RNA", at positions 524 to 776 of the family's 1533-position model. The record is from RNAcentral.